RNAcentral lists this ribosomal RNA (495 nucleotides) under uncultured bacterium. Its description in RNAcentral is "partial 16S ribosomal RNA". It matches the Rfam family "Bacterial small subunit ribosomal RNA", at positions 28 to 507 of the family's 1533-position model. The record is from RNAcentral.
GACGAACGCUGGCGGCGUGCCUAAUACAUGCAAGUAGAACGCUGAAGGAGGAGCUUGCUCUUCUGGAUGAGUUGCGAACGGGUGAGUAACGCGUAGGUAACCUGCCUGGUAGCGGGGGAUAACUAUUGGAAACGAUAGCUAAUACCGCAUAACAGUAGAUGUUGCAUGACAUUUACUUAAAAGGUGCAAUUGCAUCACUACCAGAUGGACCUGCGUUGUAUUAGCUAGUUGGUGGGGUAACGGCUCACCAAGGCGACGAUACAUAGCCGACCUGAGAGGGUGAUCGGCCACACUGGAACUGAGACACGGCCCAGACUCCUACGGGAGGCAGCAGUAGGGAAUCUUCGGCAAUGGACGGAAGUCUGACCGAGCAACGCCGCGUGAGUGAAGAAGGUUUUCGGAUCGUAAAGCUCUGUUGUAAGUGAAGAACGAGUGUGAGAGUGGAAAGUUCACACUGUGACGGUAUCUUACCAGAAAGGGACGGCUAACUACGUG